GGCCGCCGCAGUAGCGAUAUCGUAACCAGUGAGGUCCGUCCGAUGUGCGAUUGUUGCUGGUCGAAAGCUUCACCAAUACCCCGCCACGUGGACACGGACCGCCGUCCGCGUAGGCGAUUUCCGAAGGCCUUAGCGGGC
Cinara cedri is the source of this 138-nucleotide non-coding RNA. The record is from the annotation of a GenBank genome assembly. Lineage: Eukaryota; Metazoa; Arthropoda; Insecta; Hemiptera; Aphididae.